CGCGUAGGCGGAUUGGAAAGUUGGGGGUGAAAUCCCGGGGCUCAACCCCGGAACGGCCUCCAAAACUCCCAGUCUUGAGUUCGAGAGAGGUGAGUGGAAUUCCGAGUGUAGAGGUGAAAUUCGUAGAUAUUCGGAGGAAUACCAGUGGCGAAGGCGGCUCACUGGCUCGAUACUGACGCUGAGGUGCGAAAGUGUGGGGAGCAAACA
RNAcentral lists this ribosomal RNA (207 nucleotides) under uncultured bacterium. Its description in RNAcentral is "partial 16S ribosomal RNA". It matches the Rfam family "Bacterial small subunit ribosomal RNA", at positions 568 to 774 of the family's 1533-position model. The record is from RNAcentral.